Long non-coding RNA from Mustela erminea (ermine), 501 nucleotides. RefSeq lists it as uncharacterized. The record is from RefSeq and is a predicted model, not a curated record. The transcript has 2 exons. Lineage: Eukaryota; Metazoa; Chordata; Mammalia; Carnivora; Mustelidae.
CUGAGCAGGGAGCCUGACAUGGGACUCGAUCCCAGGACCCUGGAUCAUGACCUGAGCCGAAGGCAGAUGCUGUACCGACCGAACCCUCCAGGCACCCUUUCUGCUCUGUCUUGAGUGACAGUGAUGGACACCAGAACCUUCCGUGUUGGUAGGAAGCUCUCAGAUUCGCUGCAUGCCCAGUGGCCGCUCUGUGCUGGUGCCUCCUGAGCGCCCGGAGUGUGUUAGCCGUUUGCCUGCCCCUCACAUGGAGACCUUACCACAACGGGGUGAGGCCCACGGAGCUCUCCGGAGCAGCUCUGCGGAGAGGCCAAGACAUGGCCCCGAGACUGUCCCCAAACCUUGGUGCGGAGGCUCGGAGUACCUGCCCCUUUGCAAGAGGCCUUGACGUUCUUGGCCGCAGGGAGGGGCUUUCUAUGCCAGAGAGACCCCCUGAUGCCGAGAGCUGCUCCAGCGGAACCCAUCCCUGCAAGCAGAUGCUUCCAUAAGGGAGAAAAAAGAAAG